Molecule: long non-coding RNA, 135 nt
Organism: Cebus imitator (Panamanian white-faced capuchin)
Lineage: Eukaryota; Metazoa; Chordata; Mammalia; Primates; Cebidae
Exons: 2
Source: RefSeq, a predicted model, not a curated record
GAGUUCUGGCCGGGUCCAGUGGCUCACGCCUGUAAUCCCAGCACUUUGGGAGGCCGAGGCAGGCAGAUCACCUGAGGUCAGGAGUUUGAGACCAGCCUGGCCAAUGUGGUGAAACCGCCUCUCUACUAGAAAUAC